Molecule: ribosomal RNA, 253 nt
Filed under: uncultured bacterium
Lineage: Bacteria
Description: partial 16S ribosomal RNA
Rfam family: Bacterial small subunit ribosomal RNA
Source: RNAcentral
GACAGAGGGUGCAAACGUUGUUCGGAAUUACUGGGCGUAAAGCGCGUGUAGGCGGCUAUGUAAGUCGGGCGUGAAAUCCCACGGCUCAACCGUGGAAGUGCACCCGAAACUGCGUAGCUAGAGUCCUGGAGAGGAAGGUGGAAUGCUUGGUGUAGAGGUGAAAUUCGUAGAUAUCAAGCGGAGCACCGGUGGCGAAGGCGGCCUUCUGGACAGUGACUGACGCUGAGACGCGAAAGCGUGGGGAGCAAACAGG